RNAcentral lists this transfer RNA (68 nucleotides) under Janus megamaculatus. RNAcentral describes it as "tRNA-Leu". It matches the Rfam family "tRNA". From Rfam's summary of the family: Transfer RNA (tRNA) molecules are approximately 80 nucleotides in length. Their secondary structure includes four short double-helical elements and three loops (D, anti-codon, and T loops). Further hydrogen bonds mediate the characteristic L-shaped molecular structure. tRNAs have two regions of fundamental functional importance: the anti-codon, which is responsible for specific mRNA codon recognition, and the 3' end, to which the tRNAs corresponding amino acid is attached (by aminoacyl-tRNA synthetases). tRNAs cope with the degeneracy of the genetic code in two manners: having more than one tRNA (with a specific anti-codon) for a particular amino acid; and 'wobble' base-pairing, i.e. permitting non-standard base-pairing at the 3rd anti-codon position. The record is from RNAcentral. Lineage: Eukaryota; Metazoa; Arthropoda; Insecta; Hymenoptera; Cephidae.
UCUAAUAUGGCAGAUUAGUGCAUUAGACUUAAACUCUAAAUAUAUAAUUAUUAUAAUUUUUAUUAGAA